RNAcentral lists this long non-coding RNA (286 nucleotides) under Elaeis guineensis (African oil palm). RNAcentral's name for it is "long non-coding RNA (EGUI_LNC039284)". Lineage: Eukaryota; Viridiplantae; Streptophyta; Magnoliopsida; Arecales; Arecaceae. The record is from RNAcentral.
GGGGAUUCCGAGGAGUUAGGUUUUAUAGACUAAGAAGGUACCCAUUGUCCGAGAAAAUGUAUGCCAUUUUUUUCCUUGAGCAUCGUAGAGACGUAACAUGCUCUAGUUGUUUGAGGAUAAUGAUUUGCAUGUUGCGAAGAUUUUUGAGAUUACGAAUCUUACUAAGUAAAAGAUGCAGAGUGGUGGAAUGGUCUGCUACUUAUUUUUUAGUAUAUAGAAGACUCUGAAACUUCUUAGUACGAUCGUAAAAAUCUAGGUAACAGAGGCUAGACAGUCACUUCCUCUC